AACCUCCGCAAUGCGAGCAAUCGCGACGGGGGGACCCCAAGUGCCACUCUUAACGGGGUGGCUUUUCUUAAGUGUAAAAAGCUUUUGGAAUAAGGGCUGGGCAAGACCGGUGCCAGCCGCCGCGGUAACACCGGCAGCUCUAGUGGUAGCCAUUUUUAUUGGGCCUAAAGCGUUCGUAGCCGGUUUGAUAAGUCUCUGGUGAAAUCCUAUAGCUUAACUGUGGGACUUGCUGGAGAUACUAUUAGACUUGAGGUCGGGAGAGGUUAGCGGUACUCCCAGGGUAGGGGUGAAAUCCUGUAAUCCUGGGAGGACCACCUGUGGCGAAGGCGGCUAACUGGAACGAACCUGACGGUGAGGGACGAAAGCCAGGGGCGCGAACCGG
This 382-nucleotide ribosomal RNA is filed under the name uncultured archaeon. Its description in RNAcentral is "bacterial SSU rRNA". It matches the Rfam family "Archaeal small subunit ribosomal RNA", at positions 345 to 727 of the family's 1478-position model. The record is from RNAcentral.